GUGUUGGCUUCAGCAGCGCAAAUACUAAAACUGGAAAGAUACAGGGAAGAUUAGCAUGGCCCCCUUCAUAAGGAUGGUACACAAAUGCAUGAAGCACACUAUAUUUUU
Sorex fumeus (smoky shrew) is the source of this 108-nucleotide small nuclear RNA. NCBI's taxonomy places the organism in Eukaryota, Metazoa, Chordata, Mammalia, Eulipotyphla, Soricidae. The record is from RefSeq and is a predicted model, not a curated record.